UUGCUUUUGUAGUACAUUUACUAGAAUAGUAAGGACACAGAUACGAUUAACAUAGCUUCUGCGCUAGGAAAAUACGCAAAACCGUGAAUUGUACUUUAUUUCU
This 103-nucleotide small nuclear RNA is filed under the name Trichobilharzia regenti. The record is from RNAcentral. Lineage: Eukaryota; Metazoa; Platyhelminthes; Trematoda; Strigeidida; Schistosomatidae.